Molecule: ribosomal RNA, 2901 nt
Filed under: Escherichia coli
Lineage: Bacteria; Pseudomonadati; Pseudomonadota; Gammaproteobacteria; Enterobacterales; Enterobacteriaceae
Description: bacterial LSU rRNA
Source: RNAcentral
UUAAGCGACUAAGCGUACACGGUGGAUGCCCUGGCAGUCAGAGGCGAUGAAGGACGUGCUAAUCUGCGAUAAGCGUCGGUAAGGUGAUAUGAACCGUUAUAACCGGCGAUUUCCGAAUGGGGAAACCCAGUGUGWUUCGWCACACUAUCAUUAACUGAAUCCAUAGGUUAAUGAGGCGAACCGGGGGAACUGAAACAUCUAAGUACCCCGAGGAAAAGAAAUCAACCGAGAUUCCCCCAGUAGCGGCGAGCGAACGGGGAGCAGCCCAGAGCCUGAAUCAGUGUGUGUGUUAGUGGAAGCGUCUGGAAAGGCGCGCGAUACAGGGUGACAGCCCCGUACACAAAAAUGCACAUGCUGUGAGCUCGAUGAGUAGGGCGGGACACGUGGUAUCCUGUCUGAAUAUGGGGGGACCAUCCUCCAAGGCUAAAUACUCCUGACUGACCGAUAGUGAACCAGUACCGUGAGGGAAAGGCGAAAAGAACCCCGGCGAGGGGAGUGAAAAAGAACCUGAAACCGUGUACGUACAAGCAGUGGGAGCACGCUUMGGCGUGUGACUGCGUACCUUUUGUAUAAUGGGUCAGCGACUUAUAUUCUGUAGCAAGGUUAACCGAAUAGGGGAGCCGAAGGGAAACCGAGUCUUAACUGGGCGUUAAGUUGCAGGGUAUAGACCCGAAACCCGGUGAUCUAGCCAUGGGCAGGUUGAAGGUUGGGUAACACUAACUGGAGGACCGAACCGACUAAUGUUGAAAAAUUAGCGGAUGACUUGUGGCUGGGGGUGAAAGGCCAAUCAAACCGGGAGAUAGCUGGUUCUCCCCGAAAGCUAUUUAGGUAGCGCCUCGUGAAUUCAUCUCCGGGGGUAGAGCACUGUUUCGGCAAGGGGGUCAUCCCGACUUACCAACCCGAUGCAAACUGCGAAUACCGGAGAAUGUUAUCACGGGAGACACACGGCGGGUGCUAACGUCCGUCGUGAAGAGGGAAACAACCCAGACCGCCAGCUAAGGUCCCAAAGUCAUGGUUAAGUGGGAAACGAUGUGGGAAGGCCCAGACAGCCAGGAUGUUGGCUUAGAAGCAGCCAUCAUUUAAAGAAAGCGUAAUAGCUCACUGGUCGAGUCGGCCUGCGCGGAAGAUGUAACGGGGCUAAACCAUGCACCGAAGCUGCGGCAGCGACGCUGAUGCGUUGUUGGGUAGGGGAGCGUUCUGUAAGCCUGUGAAGGUGUGCUGUGAGGCAUGCUGGAGGUAUCAGAAGUGCGAAUGCUGACAUAAGUAACGAUAAAGCGGGUGAAAAGCCCGCUCGCCGGAAGACCAAGGGUUCCUGUCCAACGUUAAUCGGGGCAGGGUGAGUCGACCCCUAAGGCGAGGCCGAAAGGCGUAGUCGAUGGGAAACAGGUUAAUAUUCCUGUACUUGGUGUUACUGCGAAGGGGGGACGGAGAAGGCUAUGUUGGCCGGGCGACGGUUGUCCCGGUUUAAGCGUGUAGGCUGGUUUUCCAGGCAAAUCCGGAAAAUCAAGGCUGAGGCGUGAUGACGAGGCACUACGGUGCUGAAGCAACAAAUGCCCUGCUUCCAGGAAAAGCCUCUAAGCAUCAGGUAACAUCAAAUCGUACCCCAAACCGACACAGGUGGUCAGGUAGAGAAUACCAAGGCGCUUGAGAGAACUCGGGUGAAGGAACUAGGCAAAAUGGUGCCGUAACUUCGGGAGAAGGCACGCUGAUAUGUAKGUGARGUCCCUCGCGGAUGGAGCUGAAAUCAGUCGAAGAUACCAGCUGGCUGCAACUGUUUAUUAAAAACACAGCACUGUGCAAACACGAAAGUGGACGUAUACGGUGUGACGCCUGCCCGGUGCCGGAAGGUUAAUUGAUGGGGUCAGCGCAAGCGAAGCUCUUGAUCGAAGCCCCGGUAAACGGCGGCCGUAACUAUAACGGUCCUAAGGUAGCGAAAUUCCUUGUCGGGUAAGUUCCGACCUGCACGAAUGGCGUAAUGAUGGCCAGGCUGUCUCCACCCGAGACUCAGUGAAAUUGAACUCGCUGUGAAGAUGCAGUGUACCCGCGGCAAGACGGAAAGACCCCGUGAACCUUUACUAUAGCUUGACACUGAACAUUGAGCCUUGAUGUGUAGGAUAGGUGGGAGGCUUUGAAGUGUGGACGCCAGUCUGCAUGGAGCCGACCUUGAAAUACCACCCUUUAAUGUUUGAUGUUCUAACGUUGACCCGUAAUCCGGGUUGCGGACAGUGUCUGGUGGGUAGUUUGACUGGGGCGGUCUCCUCCUAAAGAGUAACGGAGGAGCACGAAGGUUGGCUAAUCCUGGUCGGACAUCAGGAGGUUAGUGCAAUGGCAUAAGCCAGCUUGACUGCGAGCGUGACGGCGCGAGCAGGUGCGAAAGCAGGUCAUAGUGAUCCGGUGGUUCUGAAUGGAAGGGCCAUCGCUCAACGGAUAAAAGGUACUCCGGGGAUAACAGGCUGAUACCGCCCAAGAGUUCAUAUCGACGGCGGUGUUUGGCACCUCGAUGUCGGCUCAUCACAUCCUGGGGCUGAAGUAGGUCCCAAGGGUAUGGCUGUUCGCCAUUUAAAGUGGUACGCGAGCUGGGUUUAGAACGUCGUGAGACAGUUCGGUCCCUAUCUGCCGUGGGCGCUGGAGAACUGAGGGGGGCUGCUCCUAGUACGAGAGGACCGGAGUGGACGCAUCACUGGUGUUCGGGUUGUCAUGCCAAUGGCACUGCCCGGUAGCUAAAUGCGGAAGAGAUAAGUGCUGAAAGCAUCUAAGCACGAAACUUGCCCCGAGAUGAGUUCUCCCUGACCGCGGUGGUCCCACCUGACCCCAUGCCGAACUCAGAAGUGAAACGCCGUAGCGCCGAUGGUAGUGUGGGGUCUCCCCAUGCGAGAGUAGGGAACUGCCAGGCAUCAAAUU